RNAcentral lists this ribosomal RNA (2612 nucleotides) under Serratia entomophila. RNAcentral describes it as "23S ribosomal RNA". It matches the Rfam family "Bacterial large subunit ribosomal RNA". Lineage: Bacteria; Pseudomonadati; Pseudomonadota; Gammaproteobacteria; Enterobacterales; Yersiniaceae. The record is from RNAcentral.
UUAAGUGACUAAGCGUACACGGUGGAUGCCUAGGCAGUCAGAGGCGAUGAAGGGCGUGCUAAUCUGCGAAAAGCGUCGGUAAGGUGAUAUGAACCGUUAUAACCGGCGAUACCCGAAUGGGGAAACCCAGUGCAAUUCGUUGCACUAUCGUUAAGUGAAUACAUAGCUUAACGAGGCGAACCGGGGGAACUGAAACAUCUAAGUACCCCGAGGAAAAGAAAUCAACCGAGAUUCCCCCAGUAGCGGCGAGCGAACGGGGAGGAGCCCAGAACCUGAAUCAGUUCUUGUGUUAGUGGAAGCGUCUGGAAAGUCGCGCAGUAAAGGGUGAUAGCCCCGUACACUAAAAUGCAUUNNNNNNNNNUAGUUGCAAGGUAUAGACCCGAAACCCGGUGAUCUAGCCAUGGGCAGGUUGAAGGUUGGGUAACACUAACUGGAGGACCGAACCGACUAAUGUUGAAAAAUUAGCGGAUGACUUGUGGCUGGGGGUGAAAGGCCAAUCAAACCGGGAGAUAGCUGGUUCUCCCCGAAAGCUAUUUAGGUAGCGCCUCGUGAACUCAUCUUCGGGGGUAGAGCACUGUUUCGGCUAGGGGGCCAUCCCGGCUUACCAAACCGAUGCAAACUCCGAAUACCGAAGAAUGUUAUCACGGGAGACACACGGCGGGUGCUAACGUCCGUCGUGAAGAGGGAAACAACCCAGACCGCCAGCUAAGGUCCCAAAGUCAUGGUUAAGUGGGAAACGAUGUGGGAAGGCAUAGACAGCCAGGAUGUUGGCUUAGAAGCAGCCAUCAUUUAAAGAAAGCGUAAUAGCUCACUGGUCGAGUCGGCCUGCGCGGAAGAUGUAACGGGGCUAAACCAUGCACCGAAGCUGCGGCAGCGACGCUUAGGCGUUGUUGGGUAGGGGAGCGUUCUGUAAGCCGUUGAAGGUGGCCUGUGAGGGUUGCUGGAGGUAUCAGAAGUGCGAAUGCUGACAUAAGUAACGAUAAAGCGGGUGAAAAGCCCGCUCGCCGGAAGACCAAGGGUUCCUGUCCAACGUUAAUCGGGGCAGGGUGAGUCGACCCCUAAGGCGAGGCCGAAAGGCGUAGUCGAUGGGAAACAGGUUAAUAUUCCUGUACUCGGUGUUACUGCGAAGGGGGGACGGAGAAGGCUAGGCUAGCCGGGCGACGGUUGUCCCGGUUUAAGCGUGUAGGGGGAGUGACCCGGUAAAUCCGGUUGCUUAUUCAACCCUGAGGCGUGAUGACGAUGCACCACGGUGCAGAAGUAGUUGAUGCCAAGCUUCCAGGAAAAGCCUCUAAGCAUCAGGUAACACAGAAUCGUACCCCAAACCGACACAGGUGGUCAGGUAGAGAAUACCAAGGCGCUUGAGAGAACUCGGGUGAAGGAACUAGGCAAAAUGGUGCCGUAACUUCGGGAGAAGGCACGCUGGCGCGUAGGUGAAGUCCCUUGCGGAUGGAGCUGAAGCCAGUCGCAGAUACCAGCUGGCUGCAACUGUUUAAUAAAAACACAGCACUGUGCAAACACGAAAGUGGACGUAUACGGUGUGACGCCUGCCCGGUGCUGGAAGGUUAAUUGAUGGGGUCAGCCGCAAGGCGAAGCUCUUGAUCGAAGCCCCAGUAAACGGCGGCCGUAACUAUAACGGUCCUAAGGUAGCGAAAUUCCUUGUCGGGUAAGUUCCGACCUGCACGAAUGGCGUAAUGAUGGCCAGGCUGUCUCCACCCGAGACUCAGUGAAAUUGAACUCGCUGUGAAGAUGCAGUGUACCCGCGGCAAGACGGAAAGACCCCGUGAACCUUUACUAUAGCUUGACACUGAACAUUGAGCCUUGAUGUGUAGGAUAGGUGGGAGGCUUUGAAGCGUGGACGCCAGUCUGCGUGGAGCCAACCUUGAAAUACCACCCUUUAAUGUUUGAUGUUCUAACUCGGCCCCNGGGGUGAGGACAGUGUCUGGUGGGUAGUUUGACUGGGGCGGUCUCCUCCCAAAGAGUAACGGAGGAGCACGAAGGUUAGCUAAUCACGGUCGGACAUCGUGAGGUUAGUGCAAAGGCAUAAGCUAGCUUGACUGCGAGAGUGACGGCUCGAGCAGGUACGAAAGUAGGUCUUAGUGAUCCGGUGGUUCUGAAUGGAAGGGCCAUCGCUCAACGGAUAAAAGGUACUCCGGGGAUAACAGGCUGAUACCGCCCAAGAGUUCAUAUCGACGGCGGUGUUUGGCACCUCGAUGUCGGCUCAUCACAUCCUGGGGCUGAAGUAGGUCCCAAGGGUAUGGCUGUUCGCCAUUUAAAGUGGUACGCGAGCUGGGUUUAGAACGUCGUGAGACAGUUCGGUCCCUAUCUGCCGUGGGCGUUGGAAGAUUGAGAGGGGUUGCUCCUAGUACGAGAGGACCGGAGUGAACGCACCACUGGUGUUCGGGUUGUCAUGCCAAUGGCACUGCCCGGUAGCUAAGUGCGGAAAAGAUAAGCGCUGAAAGCAUCUAAGCGCGAAACUUGCCUCGAGAUGAGUCUUCCCUGGGCCUUUAAGGCCCCUGAAGGAACGUUUAAGACUAAGACGUUGAUAGGCUGGGUGUGUAAGUGCAGCGAUGCAUUGAGCUAACCAGUACUAAUGAUCCGUGAGGCUUAACCUU